GACGAACGCUGGCGGCGUGCUUAACACAUGCAAGUCGAACGGAAAGGCCCUGCUUUUGUUGGGUGCUCGAGUGGCGAACGGGUGAGUAACACGUGAGUAACCUGCCCUUGACUUUGGGAUAACUUCAGGAAACUGGGGCUAAUACCGGAUAGGAGCUCCUGCUGCAUGGUGGGGGUUGGAAAGUUUCGGCGGUUGGGGAUGGACUCGCGGCUUAUCAGCUUGUUGGUGGGGUAGUGGCUUACCAAGGCUUUGACGGGUAGCCGGCCUGAGAGGGUGACCGGCCACAUUGGGACUGAGAUACGGCCCAGACGCCUACGGGAGGCAGCAGUGGAGAAUAUUGCACAAUGGGCGGAAGCCUGAUGCAGCAACGCCGCGUGCGGGAUGACGGCCUUCGGGUUGUAAACCGCUUUCGCCUGUGACGAAGCGUGAGUGACGGUAAUGGGUAAAGAAGCACCGGCUAACUACGUG
RNAcentral lists this ribosomal RNA (468 nucleotides) under uncultured bacterium. RNAcentral's name for it is "partial 16S ribosomal RNA". It matches the Rfam family "Bacterial small subunit ribosomal RNA", at positions 28 to 507 of the family's 1533-position model. The record is from RNAcentral.